GAGAAUGCGAUGAUGAGAACAAGUACUUCACAAGAGCCAGGCCUAGAGAGUCGGUGGUAGGUGCGAACCGAUCCGGUUAUGUGAGGGAAUCCAUCUCGGAGUGGCAAAGGAACAACAACUUUGUCCGGAACCGUCCCGUUAUGACGGAAGAGUGGACAUAUGCAUGAAGGAUUACUGCAUGUGUCAACGAGGGUGGCAACGCGGGUAUACAACACUCGUCCCUUAC
RNAcentral lists this non-coding RNA (226 nucleotides) under Brevibacillus brevis. Its description in RNAcentral is "T-box sequence". It matches the Rfam family "T-box leader". From Rfam's summary of the family: Uncharged tRNA acts as the effector for transcription antitermination of genes in the T-box leader family. The record is from RNAcentral. Lineage: Bacteria; Bacillati; Bacillota; Bacilli; Caryophanales; Paenibacillaceae.